Molecule: ribosomal RNA, 721 nt
Filed under: Stutzerimonas stutzeri
Lineage: Bacteria; Pseudomonadati; Pseudomonadota; Gammaproteobacteria; Pseudomonadales; Pseudomonadaceae
Description: bacterial SSU rRNA
Rfam family: Bacterial small subunit ribosomal RNA
Source: RNAcentral
UCGAGCGGAUGAGUGGAGCUUGCUCCAUGAUUCAGCGGCGGACGGGUGAGUAAUGCCUAGGAAUCUGCCUGGUAGUGGGGGACAACGUUUCGAAAGGAACGCUAAUACCGCAUACGUCCUACGGGAGAAAGUGGGGGAUCUUCGGACCUCACGCUAUCAGAUGAGCCUAGGUCGGAUUAGCUAGUUGGUGAGGUAAAGGCUCACCAAGGCGACGAUCCGUAACUGGUCUGAGAGGAUGAUCAGUCACACUGGAACUGAGACACGGUCCAGACUCCUACGGGAGGCAGCAGUGGGGAAUAUUGGACAAUGGGCGAAAGCCUGAUCCAGCCAUGCCGCGUGUGUGAAGAAGGUCUUCGGAUUGUAAAGCACUUUAAGUUGGGAGGAAGGGCAGUAAGUUAAUACCUUGCUGUUUUGACGUUACCGACAGAAUAAGCACCGGCUAACUUCGUGCCAGCAGCCGCGGUAAUACGAAGGGUGCAAGCGUUAAUCGGAAUUACUGGGCGUAAAGCGCGCGUAGGUGGUUCGUUAAGUUGGAUGUGAAAGCCCCGGGCUCAACCUGGGAACUGCAUCCAAAACUGGCGAGCUAGAGUAUGGCAGAGGGUGGUGGAAUUUCCUGUGUAGCGGUGAAAUGCGUAGAUAUAGGAAGGAACACCAGUGGCGAAGGCGACCACCUGGGCUAAUACUGACACUGAGGUGCGAAAGCGUGGGGAGCAAACAGGAU